GAUGAACGCUGGCGGCGUGCCUAAUACAUGCAAGUCGAGCGAACAGACGAGGAGCUUGCUCCUCUGACGUUAGCGGCGGACGGGUGAGUAACACGUGGAUAACCUACCUAUAAGACUGGGAUAACUUCGGGAAACCGGAGCUAAUACCGGAUAAUAUAUUGAACCGCAUGGUUCAAUAGUGAAAUACGGUUUUGCUGUCACUUAUAGAUGGAUCCGCGCCGCAUUAGCUAGUUGGUAAGGUAACGGCUUACCAAGGCGACGAUGCGUAGCCGACCUGAGAGGGUGAUCGGCCACACUGGAACUGAGACACGGUCCAGACUCCUACGGGAGGCAGCAGUAGGGAAUCUUCCGCAAUGGGCGAAAGCCUGACGGAGCAACGCCGCGUGAGUGAUGAAGGUCUUCGGAUCGUAAAACUCUGUUAUUAGGGAAGAAAAAAUGUGUAAGUAACUAUGCACGUCUUGACGGUACCUAAUCAGAAAGCAACGGCUAACUACGUG
Molecule: ribosomal RNA, 497 nt
Filed under: uncultured bacterium
Lineage: Bacteria
Description: partial 16S ribosomal RNA
Rfam family: Bacterial small subunit ribosomal RNA
Source: RNAcentral